AAAAGCGGAGGAAAAGAAACUAACAAGGAUUCCCCUAGUAGCGGCGAGCGAAGCGGGAAGAGCUCAAAUUUAUAAUCUGGCACCUUCGGUGUCCGAGUUGUAAUCUCUAGAAAUGUUUUCCGCGUUGGACCGCACACAAGUCUGUUGGAAUACAGCGGCAUAGUGGUGAGACCCCCGUAUAUGGUGCGGACGCCCAGCGCUUUGUGAUACAUUUUCGAAGAGUCGAGUUGUUUGGGAAUGCAGCUCAAAUUGGGUGGUAAAUUCCAUCUAAAGCUAAAUAUUGGCGAGAGACCGAUAGCGAACAAGUACCGUGAGGGAAAGAUGAAAAGCACUUUGGAAAGAGAGUUAACAGUACGUGAAAUUGUUGGAAGGGAAACGCUUGAAGUCAGACUUGCUUGCCGAGCAAUCGGUUUGCAGGCCAGCAUCAGUUUUCCGGGAUGGAUAAUGGUAGAGAGAAGGUAGCAGUUUCGGCUGUGUUAUAGCUCUCUGCUGGAUACAUCUUGGGGGACUGAGGAACGCAGUGUGCCUUUGGCGGGGGUUUCGACCUCUUCACACUUAGGAUGCUGGUGGAAUGGCUUUAAACGACCCGUCUUGAAACACGGACCAAAAAAAU
Molecule: ribosomal RNA, 613 nt
Filed under: Rhodotorula mucilaginosa
Lineage: Eukaryota; Fungi; Basidiomycota; Microbotryomycetes; Sporidiobolales; Sporidiobolaceae
Description: partial large subunit ribosomal RNA
Rfam family: Eukaryotic large subunit ribosomal RNA
Source: RNAcentral